AUGAGAGACCUUAGCGGUGCCUCAUGGGAUGAGAACACUUGCUCCAUAGUUCUGGAGGCAGAGCACUACGCCAGCCAUGUCGCGGGUGGCUUCAGCGACGAGGCUCUCAUGGUAGCUCUCAGCCACCUGCUUGACAACAAGGCCCAGGGUGUUGGGUUCGUUGCCAUGGCCGACGCUCACAGGGGCAAGUGGUAUGCCGUGUUCAUCGAUAAGGUCCCAGGGGUUUAUAGUUCAUGGGAAGAAGCCAGUGCACAAGUGGCAUCGUAUAGCAACAACACUCAUAAAGGGUUCAAGACUAGGCAGGCAGCAGAACAAGCUUACUCCGAGUGGGUGCGAAUGCACGGCAGCACUGUUGACAGUCGCAAGGUUGGAGGUGUCAAGGUGGAUCGUCAGUUUGGGCUGAAGCUGAAGAACUUCAUCAUCUUCGCCUAA
RNAcentral lists this ribosomal RNA (432 nucleotides) under Triticum aestivum (bread wheat). RNAcentral describes it as "partial small subunit ribosomal RNA". The record is from RNAcentral. Lineage: Eukaryota; Viridiplantae; Streptophyta; Magnoliopsida; Poales; Poaceae.